Molecule: long non-coding RNA, 1949 nt
Organism: Helianthus annuus (common sunflower)
Lineage: Eukaryota; Viridiplantae; Streptophyta; Magnoliopsida; Asterales; Asteraceae
Exons: 4
Source: RefSeq, a predicted model, not a curated record
AAUAUCACUACAUUUCAUCAGCCGCAUCCCCUAAAACUCUCAAGUUAUCCUCUCAAAAGACUUUGUCUGCAACUCACAACCACACACCCCUCAAACUUCAUCUCCUACAUCUCAAAAAAAAAAACCUCCUCUCGAUCACUACCUACAGACACAACCAAAGCAACCCAAACCCCUUCACUGCUCUCCCCCUCUCGCCUCUCUCGGCUCCGACGGAAAACAAUCGGCCACCACCCUCCGGUGGUGGCACACGGCGAUGAAGAGCCCAACAAACACCCACCUCCUCCUUUCUGACUGAUCGGCGGCGGCGAAGGAGGCGACGAUGGUGGAUUCCGGUGGUUGACGACGGCUAGAAGCCGUUUGAUUUCCGGCGACCAGUUACGACUCCGACAAACACCGUCGGGGUUCGGUUCAGCGGUAUAGUUGGUGGUGGCGGUCGUGACGGUGGUGGCCGAUGGCACCGGAGUCGCCAGCGGCAGCGGCGACGGCACUGAUGAUGAUGAUAUUUGAGUCGGGAUGUUGAUGAUGAUGACAGUGGAUUGGUUAAGUUGAUCGGUCAUCUCGGAUUUUAGUUAUAGGUCGCGAGUUAGUCGGUUCAAGCUUCAUUUCGGGUCUCAGUUUCAACGGGAUUCAAGAUCGGGUCUUGCGGUUCGUGGUUCGGUUCGAUCAACGGUUCGGGUCAACGAUCAUACCUGUUUGGGUUAGUUCAGAAGUCUGACAGGUGUUUCGGUUCAUCUCAGAUCUUGAUUCGGGUUCUAUUCGGGUCAACAGAAGUCAGCAGCGGUUCGUGUGACGUCUCGGGUUCCAUGUCAGAUCUAGCGUGGUUCGGGUUCGGUUCGACGAGCCAGCUUUUGGUUUGGUUCAUCAGUUUCGGUCUGAGUUGGAUUUGUUUCGGGUUUCACGACUCAGUCGGGCUCGAGUCAACUCAGCUGCGUUCGGGACAAACCCGGUUGACUCGGUCAACACCCGAGUCAACUCGGGUCAACAGACUGUCAACGCAGUCAACCACAGCCAGCGAAGAUCCGGUUGCAUUUCCAAAACUAUGGAACGGUUGGAAUAGGAGAACCCAUGGGAAUUCGAGUACUUAGCGGCGUUCAUUUUCGAGAAGUCUUAGCUUAUUUGCUUCCGCUGUGCAAUGAAGAUACCGGUCCAGUCACGCCAGCUCUGAUAUUUCGGGGUGUGACAUACUAUUCCUGGUCUGGAAUACGGUUAAUUACUAUUUAUAUUAGAUGCAACAAGCGUACUAAACGAAACUCUAUCAUGAAGUCCCUACUUUCUAUACCGAUUAGUCGCCGAUUCCUGGCAAACGGGUUACGAGAUCGGAAUGUUGCCGGAAAGCGAGUUCUGCGAUAAUACGAGAUCGUUCAGUGAAGUUGUUCCUCCGAUUUCAACAAGAAUGCUUCUGUUUAACUUGUUUACACUCAAAUCGAGAAUAUCCAAAGUCGUUAGCUUGCCGACAGUCUUCGGGAUUUCACUAGUCAGCGAAUUCUUAGACAUGUUCAAGAACCUCAAGCUGCUAAAUUUCCCGAUAUCGGACGGGAUUUCACCGGAUAACUCAUUGUGGGAUACAUCGACAACUAGAGAUUCUGGUGUGAGAUGUUAACAGAGGAAGUAAACGCGCCAUUGACGCUUCCAGGGUUUUAACUACAGGGACUCAGGGUAGUGGCCAUUGGUAGAUGAAGAAAAGUGGUUGGAAAUAAAAUUAUAGUCUGUGGAAGUUUAAUUGAUCAAGAGAAUUAAAUCCCUAAUUUUAUAUAUAAGAAAUUUCGUUUGAAAUUUGUUGUUGGGUACGAAGAUCUUGAAUGGGACAGUGGGGCGGCAGCGACGGUGGCAGUGGGGUGGUGGUGUUUAUAUAUAUUAUAUGUUAAAAGUUUAUGCAUUAAAGACUUGUUCCUUGUACUUAUAUGCAUAUAAGACUUGUACUUUAUGUGUAAAUGACCAAAUUACCCUCA